Molecule: ribosomal RNA, 253 nt
Filed under: uncultured bacterium
Lineage: Bacteria
Description: partial 16S ribosomal RNA
Rfam family: Bacterial small subunit ribosomal RNA
Source: RNAcentral
UACAGAGGACUCAAGCGUUGUUCGGAUUCAUUGGGCGUAAAGGGUGCGUAGGCGGCGCGGUAAGUCGGGUGUGAAAUCUUGGAGCUUAACUCCGAAACUGCAUUCGAUACUGCCGUGCUUGAGGACUGGAGAGGAGACUGGAAUUUACGGUGUAGCGGUGAAAUGCGUAGAUAUCGUAAGGAAGACCAGUGGCGAAGGCGGGUCUCUGGACAGUUCCUGACGCUGAGGCACGAAGGCCAGGGGAGCAAACGGG